Molecule: long non-coding RNA, 1080 nt
Filed under: Prunus dulcis (almond)
Lineage: Eukaryota; Viridiplantae; Streptophyta; Magnoliopsida; Rosales; Rosaceae
Description: sRNA ncRNA
Source: RNAcentral
CUAACUUUCCCGAUGUCUCCUCUUCCUCUGCCUCUCUGUCUGGAAUUGUUGUGCGUGUGAAAGGGAUUUCUAUUCCACUCAGUUUCCACUUUAUUUCGGCUGUCCUUGGUCAGGCUCUUAUUCGCUCUGGCAAUUCUUGUGAGCCGGUUCCAGAUUUCCUUCCUUGUCAUCAGCUGGUGAAUCGACUCUAUGUGAAAGUAAGUUGGAAGGCUGCUCAUAUUCUCUUCCAGCUUGUGAUUGAGCACUCUGUCAGUGUUGAGUUCUACAUCCGUGAAAGCCUCAUCGCCGUUGGUGCUGCAAAUGCCACUGUUCUGACAAGAAGUCUUGUUCUACCUAGGAUUAUCACAUCUUUGGCUACUCAUGCUAGUGUCCAUGCACUCUCUACGGAUGAUAUUGGCUCUUCCAACACCAUCAAAGUCAACAAUCAUGUUACUUUACAUCUCAGCUCUCACUGUACUUCUGGUAAUUUCUCCAUUGAGCAAUAGGCUCUUUUGGAUUCACACUCUGCAUCCCAUCAAGUGACGCAUGCACUUCUUCACCGCAUCUGGGAUCGCCUUGACACUUGUGGUGAGCUGCUGCUGGCACUUGCUAGGCAUAUUUAGCCACCUGAUCCUCCCUGUCCUACUCGGGCUCGCAGCCUCUAAGGUUCAUAUGUUCUGCUACUGGAUUUGUUCAUCCUUUGUAGUUAUCUCUGUGUUCCUUCGGAUUUCCUAAACAAAAAGAGGGAGAAUAUUUUGUGUUACAUAUGGGAUUUAGGGGGAGUAACUUGACUGUCGAAAGUAGAAACAUGAUAUUUAGGGGGAGAUAACUUUUUGUUUUGUUUAUGGGAUCAGAACGUGUAGUGGCUUGCUUAACCUCCUAACAUAUGAAGGAUUGUUGUUUAAUUGUGUCAAGUUCUGUUUCUUCUUUUUCAAUUCUAUUAUGCUUCACUGAUAAUCUGCUUGUUGGUGUGUAGAAGUUACAAGAACUGGAUGUUUAUUGGGCAUAGCAAAUUAGGAUGUGUAGGUUCUUCUUGUAAAAGUGUCUGCAAUGUAAUCUAGUGUUUUGUCUAGGAAAUGCCAAAGGGGAAGAUUGUUAUUA